AUGCUACGAAGCAAUUUCACAAAGAUGAAGAAGAGUGUUUUUAGUACUAACGACGUACCUGGGAGAAAAUGGCAGGGUUUUCUUUACGUAGUCAAGCAAGCGUUGGCAAGGAACACUAUCAGCAACCCAUGUAUGUCAGACAAUGGCGGGCCUUUACGUACUGCUACUGAGCAUGCGCACUCUUCUCUAAUCAGCGCACAGUCCCAUUCUACAGUUGGGGGCUCCGGAUACAGAGAGCAGAGCUGGGUAUUGCUGGUGAUUUAGAAAGCUGAGGCGCUGGGGCCUUCUAAAGCUGUACAUCAGCGUGCUCCCGGAAGCUGAUAGCAUGCUCCCAGAAGCCUAGAGUGUGCUCCCGGAAGCCGGAAAGGCGCCACAGAACACACACCUUCUUUAAGUCAGAACAUCAACCGUGCCUCUGUUGAACAGGGGAAAUUUGCCGGGCGUGGUGGUGCAAGCCUUUAAUCCCAGCACUCGGGAGGCAGAGGCAGGCGGAUUCUGAGUUCGAGGCCAGCCUGGUCUACAAAGUGAGUUCCAGGACAGCCAGGGCUACACAGAGAAACCCUGCCCCCCCCCUGCCAACUCCCCCCCCCCAAAAAAAACCCAAAAAAAAAGAAAAGGGGGGGGGGAAAUUACUAAACACUUUAACAUCUCAUGAAUAUCAUUCAGUUUCAGUUCAGAGGGUACCAAGCUUAUAUGCUACAGGCAGUGUGUUCCUCCUUGGAAAUUUAUGCUAUACUUUAUCCCUUUCAGGGAAUCGGGGAUUCAGUUCCUAUUUGCUGGAUAUGCCACAGGAUCCUACAAACCAUUUUUAAAAUGUAAGAGCCUUCCUUUGAGUUUAUUUUCUAAAGAUCUUUGCAGGCUCCGGAGCCUAUGGGUUGAAAGGCUUGGAUCUAGUGCAGUGGUUAUCAGCCUGUAGGUUGUGACUCCUUUGAGGCCGAGUAUUUGAUAUCCCGAGUAUCAGAUAUUUAAAUUAUGAUUCAUAACAGUAGCAGAAUUACAGUUCUGAAGUAGCAACAAAAUAAUUUUAUGGUUGGGAGUCACCACAACAGGAGGAACUGUAUCAAAGGGUCCUAAUGUUAGGAAGGUUGACCCCUGCUAACAUGCUACGACUGAUUUUCUGUGUAUCUGAAUAUGUAACAGGAGUGAUACAAAAGAAAUACCUUGUGGUGGCUGCCAAGAGACAAGGAGAUGCCUCUUCUGGACACAGUGACAACCUCAGCAUCUAUACACAUGAGUUGGAUAUUGAAAACUGCUAUAGAAUUGUGCACUUAAAUGAUCUCGGGGGUCACGACCUCCCUGAGCAUCUGCAUCCUUCCUGUGAGAUGUGAUUAAUGACAUUCACUGCCAAGGGUACUACAGAGAUUCAACAUGAUUAUAUAUAAGAAAUGUGUAGCAUAGACUACUAUAGUAUGUUCUUAUUAAAUCUUAACUAUUAUCAUUCUAUUUAAACUUCCACAAAUGUAGGUCUAGAUAAUUUCACAGUUAUUUGGGGGGGGCAGUAUAAAGCCAUUUUAAUUAUUUAUUUAUUCACCUUUAAAAAAAGCAUUUAUUUUUACUUCAUGCGCAUUGAUGUUUUGCCAGCAUGCAUGUCUGUGUGAGGGUGUUGGAUCUCCUAUUCUCCAAGAACUAGAGUUACAGUCAGUUGGGAGCCACUGUGUGGUUGCUGGGAAUUGAACCUGCGUCCUCUGGAAGAGCAGCCAGUGCUCUUAAAUGCCAUGCCAUCUCUCCAGCCUCAAUUUAUUUUCUUUUAAAAACAGGGUCUUAUAUGACGCAAUCUGGCCUUGAACUUGUUAUCAUCCUGCCUCAACCCACAGAUUCUAGGGUUACAGGCAUGUCUACCAUACACCAUUUUUCUUUUCAUCUAUUCAUGUCUUGCAUGUGUAUGUAGUGUGAUGCUCUCUUAUAUGUGUGCAUAUGGGUGUGUAGACACGUGUGGGCAUACAAGUGUAGACCCAAAGUCCAUGUGAGAUAAUGCUCCUUGAUUGCUCUUUACCUCAUGUAUCGGAACAGGGUCUCUCACUGAGUCUGGAAUUCAGAGUUCCAGCUUGUCCAUUGGGUCCUCUGUCUCGGCCUCCUGAGUGCUGGGAUUGCAGGUGGCUGUCACACUGGACUGGCUUUUAUGAGGGUUAGCACUCACACUUAUAAAGCAAGCAGUUUAUCCAUAGAACCGUCUCUCCAGCCCCAAUGUAUUUAUUUAUCACGACAUUUUCCUCGGCUAGGGAUGAGGAUGAGUUGGUAGAGCAGUUGAGUAGCUUGUAAGAGGCCAUCGGAUCACUCCCGGUGCACUUGGGAGGUGCAAACCCGGGGAUCAGAAGUUAAAGGCUACACUCAGGCGACGCGGUGAGUUUGAGGCUACCCUGGGCAGUGUAGGACACCGACUCCAAAACCAACCAACCAAAGCCUCAAAUGGAAACAGACAAAAUAAUUAAAUAAAUAAAGUAAGCCUCAAGAUCCA
RNAcentral lists this long non-coding RNA (2455 nucleotides) under Mus spicilegus (steppe mouse). RNAcentral describes it as "lncRNA (ENSMSIG00000022659.1)". Lineage: Eukaryota; Metazoa; Chordata; Mammalia; Rodentia; Muridae. The record is from RNAcentral.